UCCCCAUGUGAGAGUAGGUCAUCGUCAAGA
RNAcentral lists this non-coding RNA (30 nucleotides) under Drosophila melanogaster (fruit fly). Lineage: Eukaryota; Metazoa; Arthropoda; Insecta; Diptera; Drosophilidae. The record is from RNAcentral. RNAcentral also lists the same sequence under 1 other name.